RNAcentral lists this ribosomal RNA (310 nucleotides) under uncultured eukaryote. RNAcentral's name for it is "partial 18S ribosomal RNA". It matches the Rfam family "Eukaryotic small subunit ribosomal RNA", at positions 1470 to 1796 of the family's 1831-position model. The record is from RNAcentral.
CCCUUAGAUGUCCUGGGCCGCACGCGCGCUACAAUGAUAAAUUCAGAAUGUUUUUCCUGCCCUGGAAAGGUGUGGGUAAUCAUUAUAGUAUUUAUCGUGUUAGGGAUCGAUCUUUGCAAUUAUAGAUCUUGAACGAGGAAUGCCUAGUAAGUGCAGCUCAUCAGGCUGUACUGAUUACGUCCCUGCCCUUUGUACACACCGCCCGUCGCUCCUACCGAUUUCGAGUGUUCAGGUGAACCAUCUGGACUGAGCCGCAAGGCCCGGGAAGUUUGGUAAAUCUUAACACUUAGAGGAAGGAGAAGUCGUAACA